GACGAACGCUGGCGGCGCGCCUAACACAUGCAAGUCGAACGGGAUUUUUAGGAGCUUGCUCCUGGCAAUCUAGUGGCGGACGGGUGAGUAACACGUGAGCAACCUGCCUUUCAGAGGGGGAUAACAUCCGGAAACGGAUGCUAAUACCGCAUAACAUCAUCGGAUGGCAUCAUCUGGUGAUCAAAGGAGCAAUCCGCUGAGAGAUGGGCUCGCGCCCGAUUAGAUAGUUGGUGGGGUAAUGGCCUACCAAGUCUGUGAUCGGUAGCCGGACUGAGAGGUUGAUCGGCCACAUUGGGACUGAGACACGGCCCAGACUCCUACGGGAGGCAGCAGUGGGGAAUAUUGCGCAAUGGGGGAAACCCUGACGCAGCAACGCCGCGUGAUUGAAGAAGGCCUUCGGGUUGUAAAGAUCUUUAAUCAGGGACGAAGGAAGUGACGGUACCUGAAGAAUAAGCUCCGGCUAACUACGUGCCAGCAGCCGCGGUAAGAC
Molecule: ribosomal RNA, 490 nt
Filed under: uncultured bacterium
Lineage: Bacteria
Description: bacterial SSU rRNA
Rfam family: Bacterial small subunit ribosomal RNA
Source: RNAcentral